UGGGGAAUCUUCCGCAAUGGACGAAAGUCUGACGGAGCAACGCCGCGUGAGUGAAGAAGGUUUUCGGAUCGUAAAACUCUGUCUUUUGGGGCGAACGUGAGUAUGGUGAACAAUCAUAGUCAGUGACGGUACCAAAGGAGGAAGCCACGGCUAACUACGUGCCAGCAGCCGCGGUAAUACGUAGGUGGCAAGCGUUGUCCGGAAUUAUUGGGCGUAAAGAGCGCGUAGGCGGGAUAGUCAGUCUGUUGUAAAAGUGCGGGGCUCAACCCCGUGAUCGCAAUGGAAACAGCUAUUCUUGAGUGCAGGAGAGGAAAGUGGAAUUCCCAGUGUAGCGGUGAAAUGCGUAGAUAUUGGGAGGAACACCAGUGGCGAAGGCGACUUUCUGGACUGUGUCUGACGCUGAGGCGCGAAAGCCAGGGGAGCGAACGGGAUUAGAUACCCCCGGUAGUCCUGGGCCGUAAAACGAUGGGUACUAGGUGGUGGGAGGUAUCGACCCCCUUUGCCGUGCCGGAGUUAACGCAAUAAGUACCCCGCCUGGGGAGUACGGUCGCAAGACUGAAACGUCAAAUGAAUUGACGGGGUCAAAGCUGUUCCUG
RNAcentral lists this ribosomal RNA (596 nucleotides) under uncultured bacterium. Its description in RNAcentral is "partial 16S ribosomal RNA". It matches the Rfam family "Bacterial small subunit ribosomal RNA", at positions 355 to 938 of the family's 1533-position model. The record is from RNAcentral.